This is a long non-coding RNA of Mauremys mutica (yellowpond turtle), 1399 nucleotides long. RefSeq lists it as uncharacterized. The record is from RefSeq and is a predicted model, not a curated record. The transcript has 3 exons. Lineage: Eukaryota; Metazoa; Chordata; Testudines; Geoemydidae.
UUCUGUUCCUUUUGCAAUGCCUCAGAUGUGCAAGAAGGGUGUAUCUGCCCCAGGGAGUCAGGUGACAUAAGAUAUUCAAGCCAGAUUUAGCCCUGGAAUAAGCAGACACAAUUCUCAUUGAAUGGAGUGGUAGUUGUACCUAUUAACACCAGGUUUGUAGAAGAAAAUGUGGUCUAUUCAGCAACAGAGUGAAUUGCAAGGACACAUAAAUAACAAAACUCAUUUUCAUUUUGAGGGACAGAAAGAAGUUGAGUUGGUCAUGAAGAGAGUAGAGGGCUGGACCUCUAACCUACAGAGUCCACGGAUCCAUGCCAAACCCAUUGAUCCCAAAGCUGCCAGCUGGAUUGUCUUCUCUCAUUGAUGAUCCAUGGUGUCCACAACCAGCAGAGCUUUCUAAGAGACUUACUACCAUUUUCAACCUACCCUUCUCUAGCUGCCCAACAAAAGCCAUAGAAAACAUCCUGCACUUACAGCAACACUGAUUUCCAGCAUAACCUUCCUGAGCCACGAUCACACACAACUAGAGCAAAUACAAUGUGAGCCAAAGGCUUAGUGGAACAGGUGAGCGCCAUUGCUCACCCUAUGUUCCCCCAUCCAGUCCAUCUCUCCUGCUCCUCUCUGCAAUUUUUACUGAAGCAAUGGCUCUUACUGUCCUCAGUCAGACAAAAUAUCUGGGUAGCAAACAAAAACACAACAAAUACAAAUAAAACACAAUACUGUACUUGAAUUUCCAUUGUGAUUUCUUCUUUUACUUUAAUUAACUUUAGGCUUGCAAGCUUUAGGCUUGCUAGGCAGUUCUACUGAAAAUUAUCCUAUGCUGAUUGUAGGUUCCAGGCCUGAAACCUUUUCUCACAGCAGUAGUUCUCACUUUCACAACUGAUUCCAUUGACUUCAACAGAGCAACUCAUGUCAGUAUGAGUGUAUUCUCAAAAUUUGGAUUUAUCAUUCUGAAAUUUUCCACAUUAUUGACUGAUUGAUUAAUAUUUGAAAAACCUUCUUUCCCCCAAGUGGGAAGGAAAGAUAAUAAAGGAUUAUCAGUUAAUGAAUUAUUUUUACUCCAACAUUUUUGUCUAGUAUUUUAAAUAUAAGCCCGUGUUAAAAGUUAAUAACCAAAGUAUUCAUCUCUUUUAUCUGAAGCAUUUUGUUGCAAAUGCAUUUAAUUUAUCAACACUACCUUAUCUAAUCUCAGCAAUACUAUUUAGAUUAUGAUGAUACAUGACCUGGACAGUAGAUUAUGUUAUUUCAGAUUCUCACAGAGGUUGUUUCAUAACAAAUUGACAGCAGUUGAAUUUCCAGCUUAGCAUAAGGACUUAUCACUUGGUAUUAAACUGGAUUCUGUAAUUUAGAGCUAAUUGUUAUAUAUUGAUUUACUACAUAGAAUCGUUUAUGCUGUAGGAAG